RNAcentral lists this long non-coding RNA (681 nucleotides) under Olea europaea subsp. europaea. The record is from RNAcentral. Lineage: Eukaryota; Viridiplantae; Streptophyta; Magnoliopsida; Lamiales; Oleaceae.
UCAAUGAUAGAUUUUCAUUUUCAGAAAACAUUUGACAAUUUAUCAUUGGAAGUUGAAAAAAAAAUAAAAUAAUAGAAGAAAAAACACUCCCUAUCCAACUAGCUUUAUUCGAGUCAUGACUCUGCCUUUGAUAUCAUAUCUAUAGUUUCAAUAUUCAGUCGUUAUUGCCCCUUAGGGCACAUACCAACUGGCAAAGAUGAGGGCGCUUCAAGACUGACAGAUCAGAGGUCGUGAGUUCGAUUCCUGGAAGGCUCUUGGAAGGCAGAUAUUCUCCUGGAAGGCAGAAUCUCUACUGGAAGGCAAGGUGCAAAGAUGAAAAAUGACUUGCUUGGCAAUUUGGCAGAUUAGUUGGGGAGGGGGGCUCUUGAGCACUGAUCAAUUUGGGGCACAACCUGCAGUUUAACCUGUCUGCAACUUGAGGGGCCAAGGUGUAGACUCCAGGAUUUAGUUACUGUAAUGUGGAUACCUGGAUAUAAAAAAAAAAAAAAAUUCAGUCGUUAUUGUACCACAUGUUCUUCUACGUUUUUGGUAAAUUCCAUGUUUUUUUUUUUGGUAAAAUUUCUUUUUCAUAUAACUUUUUUGACAUUUUUAACUAAAACAUUAUUUCUUGAGGAACAAACAAAAAUAAGUUCAAUCAAAAUUUAUACUUUCACUUAAAUUACGAAUGCUCAUACAAUCUCG